RNAcentral lists this ribosomal RNA (517 nucleotides) under unidentified. RNAcentral describes it as "Boleodorus bushehrensis partial large subunit ribosomal RNA". The record is from RNAcentral.
UCCCGCCUCGGGCCGCGUGUGUCGGCGACGGUGCGCCUCAGUGGUGCAUUUACAGGUGAAGUGCGCCGAGGCUUGUGGCGGCGGCGAGCGGAUCCUCGUCUUGAGGCCACACCUUCACGGGCGUGGUACCCGGACGYGGGGGAAGCUCGUCCGCUCUGCAUGUGCGAGAGUGCGGUUGAGGCGGUGCGGUGACGUUGCGCUCGCUAGUWACGGUCGCAUGCGACGCGUGCUAGUUGAGCGCUUCGAAGCKGCGCCGGCUUUCGCGCUCGUCCUCGGUGUGAGAGUCGGUCAUCUCUCCGACCCGUCUUGAAACACGGACCAAGGAGUUUAGCGUGUACGCGAGUCAUUGAGUGUGAAACUCAAAGGCGUAAUGAAAGUGAAGCUAUGGUGAUGUGCGAUCGAGUGUGCCACGGUGCGCUCGAGCAGCAUAGCCCCGUCCCGAUCGCUUGCGAUGGGGCGGAGGUAGAGCGUAUGCGCUGAGACCCGAAAGAUGGUGAACUAUUCCUGAGCAGGACGA